CCAUAAAAUGCACUGCUUGUGCGUUGCUUCGUUGGAUCAUGUACUUGUACGUGUUCUUACGUUACUUGCUCAGCUCGGCUGUGGGUUUUUGGUGUGCUGGCGCGAACUUGUGGUUCUAAUUCGCGUUUUACGGACCGUAACUCGGGCGCACCAGUCCUUCGCAUGCUGUGGCGGAGUGCCUGGCUUACUGGCAUUCCUGCUUUGAUUU
Molecule: ribosomal RNA, 208 nt
Filed under: Heterodera betae
Lineage: Eukaryota; Metazoa; Nematoda; Chromadorea; Rhabditida; Heteroderidae
Description: internal transcribed spacer 2
Source: RNAcentral